This 800-nucleotide ribosomal RNA is filed under the name Arthrobacter sp. Its description in RNAcentral is "bacterial SSU rRNA". It matches the Rfam family "Bacterial small subunit ribosomal RNA", at positions 689 to 1484 of the family's 1533-position model. The record is from RNAcentral. Lineage: Bacteria; Bacillati; Actinomycetota; Actinomycetes; Micrococcales; Micrococcaceae.
CGCAGAUAUCAGGAGGAACACCGAUGGCGAAGGCAGGUCUCUGGGCAUUAACUGACGCUGAGGAGCGAAAGCAUGGGGAGCGAACAGGAUUAGAUACCCUGGUAGUCCAUGCCGUAAACGUUGGGCACUAGGUGUGGGGGACAUUCCACGUUUUCCGCGCCGUAGCUAACGCAUUAAGUGCCCCGCCUGGGGAGUACGGCCGCAAGGCUAAAACUCAAAGGAAUUGACGGGGGCCCGCACAAGCGGCGGAGCAUGCGGAUUAAUUCGAUGCAACGCGAAGAACCUUACCAAGGCUUGACAUGGGCCGGACCGGGCUGGAAACAGUCCUUCCCCUUUGGGGCCGGUUCACAGGUGGUGCAUGGUUGUCGUCAGCUCGUGUCGUGAGAUGUUGGGUUAAGUCCCGCAACGAGCGCAACCCUUGUUCCAUGUUGCCAGCGCGUAAUGGCGGGGACUCAUGGGAGACUGCCGGGGUCAACUCGGAGGAAGGUGGGGACGACGUCAAAUCAUCAUGCCCCUUAUGUCUUGGGCUUCACGCAUGCUACAAUGGCCGGUACAAAGGGUUGCGAUACUGUGAGGUGGAGCUAAUCCCAAAAAGCCGGUCUCAGUUCGGAUUGGGGUCUGCAACUCGACCCCAUGAAGUCGGAGUCGCUAGUAAUCGCAGAUCAGCAACGCUGCGGUGAAUACGUUCCCGGGCCUUGUACACACCGCCCGUCAAGUCACGAAAGUUGGUAACACCCGAAGCCGGUGGCCUAACCCCUUGUGGGAGGGAGCUGUCGAAGGUGGGACUGGCGAUGGACUAA